Non-coding RNA from Pelobates cultripes (western spadefoot toad), 504 nucleotides. NCBI's taxonomy places the organism in Eukaryota, Metazoa, Chordata, Amphibia, Anura, Pelobatidae. The record is from the annotation of a GenBank genome assembly.
GAGAUGUAUUCUACAUCAUCUGGAGUGCCAAAGGUUGCCUAACUCUGAAAUACAGGCUUGUAUUUCUAAUUGUAGAGUGCUCCUUUAAAGGGACACUGUAGGAACCCAGACUACUUCAGCUCAUUGAAGUGGCCUGGGUACUAAUUCCCAUCACCCUUAACCCUGAGCAUGUAAUUAUUGCUGUUUUUAUAAACUGCAACAAUUAACUACUAGGGUUAACUCCUCCACCCGGGUGCUUAGACGACUUUUGGACGCUGGAUGUCCUCACGCCAUGCAUUAGUGGAAUCCCCAUAGGAAAGCAUGAAAUAAUGCUUUCCUAUGGGGAGAUCCUAAUACGAGCGUGGCCAUUGCUGAGCAUGCACAUUAGGUCUCCCACGUUAGUGGGGCUGGGCCAGCGCCAUGGGGGGAAGUGGGGGCCUGCCUUGGCAGAAGAGGACACUAUAGUGCCAGGAAAAUGUUUGUUUUCCUAGCACUAUAGAUCCCUUUUAAAUGAAUAAGCUUGAG